This is a long non-coding RNA of Rhinolophus ferrumequinum (greater horseshoe bat), 443 nucleotides long. RefSeq lists it as uncharacterized. The transcript has 4 exons. The record is from RefSeq and is a predicted model, not a curated record. Lineage: Eukaryota; Metazoa; Chordata; Mammalia; Chiroptera; Rhinolophidae.
AUUUGAGCCCCUGACGUCUGCGUUCCCAGACAGGGUCCACCGAGGCUUUGCUCUGCCUGCAUGUUGCAGCUCCCACACCGGCUCAACGCAGACAUUACCAGACCCCCAGAAGACAAUCUCGAAGGAGGCUUUUGUGACUGCAGCCUUGUGAAAGACUGUACAAGUUGGAGGAAAGAAGGAGAUAAAGUAUUCUGCCGAAUGGCCGUUCUUCGCGAGGCCCCAACCAGUCCACCACUUCUCAGGUUUCUCAGAAUAGAGGAUCCGUGUAUGGGAGCCGUGAGCACUAUGUCUGAAAAGGUGGGCUGAGGGCAGACUGUCAAGAGCCAGGACCGCCAGCAGCAGAGAAUGAGCUACUCUCUGUAGGUGAGGGAAGGGAUGAGGUGAUGAGAUUUUUCUGUGUGGCCAUCGGUCUGCCCUUAGCAGGCAACGCGGAUUGGAAAGCA